Long non-coding RNA from Strigops habroptila (Kakapo), 187 nucleotides. RefSeq lists it as uncharacterized. The transcript has 3 exons. Lineage: Eukaryota; Metazoa; Chordata; Aves; Psittaciformes; Psittacidae. The record is from RefSeq and is a predicted model, not a curated record.
UCAGGAUGUGCUGUAGCUGAGUUAACUGAUAAGGAGAAGGAUGGGGAGAAAUCACUCACUUAUGUCAGCAGUGUUACCAAACCAAUUAAGCUGGUGUAAGCAUUUGUCUACUGCACAUGCUUCAAAGACUACCAGAACAAGAGUUCAAGUGAUGAAGAUUGUUGGAAGAAGUAAAACGACCACCAAA